AACGUAGGUGACAAGCGUUAUCCGGAUUUACUGGGCGUAAAGCGUGUGCAGGUGGGAAGGCAAGUGGUGUAUGAAAGCUCUCAGCUUAACUGAGAGAGGUUAUGCCAGACUGCCCUCCUUGAGGUAGCAAGAGGGACAUGGAAUUCCGGGUGUAGUGGUGAAAUGCGUAGAGAUCCGGAGGAACUCCAGAGGCGAAGGCGGUGUCCUGGUGCCUACCUGACGCUCAGACACGAAAGCAUGGGGAGCGAACGGG
Molecule: ribosomal RNA, 253 nt
Filed under: uncultured bacterium
Lineage: Bacteria
Description: partial 16S ribosomal RNA
Rfam family: Bacterial small subunit ribosomal RNA
Source: RNAcentral